AGAGUUUGAUCCUGGCUCAGAGCGAACGUUAGCGGCAGGCUUAACACAUGCAAGUCGAGCGAGAAAGGGGCUUCGGCUCCGAGUAAAGCGGCGGACGGGUGCGUAACACGUGGAUAAUCUGCCUCGUGGCGGGGGACAACAGUCCGAAAGGACUGCUAAUACCGCAUGUCAGGUCGGAAACUCCGGUUUCUGACGAAAAAAGAGGGGCGCCCGCAAGGGGCUCUCACCACGAGAUGAGUCCGCGUCCCAUCAGCUAGUUGGCGGUGUAAUAGACCACCAAGGCUUAGACGGGUAGCUGGUCUGAGAGGAUGACCAGCCACACUGGGACUGAGACACGGCCCAGACUCCUACGGGAGGCAGCAGUGGGGAAUAUUGGACAAUGGGCGAAAGCCUGAUCCAGCCAUGCCGCGUGAGUGAUGAAGGCCUCGGUCGUAAG
This 436-nucleotide ribosomal RNA is filed under the name uncultured bacterium. RNAcentral's name for it is "bacterial SSU rRNA". It matches the Rfam family "Bacterial small subunit ribosomal RNA", at positions 8 to 429 of the family's 1533-position model. The record is from RNAcentral.